GCCAGGUGUGGUGGCUCAUGCCUGUAAUCCCAGCGGCUCAGGAGGCUGAGGCAGGAGGAUCACGAGUUCAAAGCCAGCCUCAGCAAAAGCAAGGCGCUAAGCAACUCAGUGAGACCCUGUCUCUA
RNAcentral lists this small RNA (125 nucleotides) under Marmota monax (woodchuck). Lineage: Eukaryota; Metazoa; Chordata; Mammalia; Rodentia; Sciuridae. The record is from RNAcentral.